This 445-nucleotide ribosomal RNA is filed under the name uncultured bacterium. RNAcentral's name for it is "bacterial SSU rRNA". It matches the Rfam family "Bacterial small subunit ribosomal RNA", at positions 331 to 792 of the family's 1533-position model. The record is from RNAcentral.
CCAGACUCCUACGGGAGGCAGCAGUGGGGAAUAUUGCACAAUGGGGGAAACCCUGAUGCAGCGACGCCGCGUGAGCGAUGAAGUAUUUCGGUAUGUAAAGCCCUAUCGGCAGGGAAGAAUUUAGACGGUACCUGACUAAGAAGCCCCGGCUAACUACGUGCCAGCAGCCGCGGUAAUACGUAGGGGGCAAGCGUUAUCCGGAUUCACUGGGUGUAAAGGGAGCGUAGACGGCCAUGCAAGCCUGGAGUGAAAGCCCGGGGCCCAACCCCGGGACUGCUCUGGGAACUGUGCGGCUGGAGUGCGGGAGGGGCAGGCGGAAUUCCUGGUGUAGCGGUGAAAUGUGUAGAUAUCAGGAGGAACACCGGCGGCGAAGGCGGCCUGCUGGACCGCGACUGACGUUGAGGCUCGAAAGCGUGGGGAGCAAACAGGAUUAGAUACCCCCGUA